CUCUCCCCAUCUGAUUUCUAGAAAAACAUUCCUUUGUCUGAUUUAGUUUUGUUCCACCUUUUUGGUAUGCUUCCUGUCUUUAAGUUUGGUUGGGUUUUUCUUUUGUUUGCCUCUUCUUGGGCAGAUUCAGUGGGUGCUCAUGCCAGUACCGCCAGCAUAUCUCAGAGAGCACGUGCUUUCGCUUCCCCAUCCUGGAAGUGCACCUCAAGGACCUGAUAGCAGUGGCCCUGCCUGACUGGAGCGACCGCGAGAAGACCCAGGUCAACCUGGCCAAGACCCAGCAGCUGUAUGCAAUCCUCCAGCAGCUAGCGCUGACCCAGACCGCACCACUCAGUGUUGAUGCCACCAUGGACCUGCUCAACCUGCUCAUGGUUUGGCCCGGGUGACUGAUACUGAAUGACUUGAUAGAUUUGUUUUACCGGUUAGCUUUAGCAUUUUAUUUUUGUGUAUUGUUCCUGUCUGGUAUCUCUGGACCAGUACCAUUCAGAGGAAGAGAUCUAUCAGCUGUCUCUGCAGAGGAAGCCACGUACUGCCAGGCGAGGUGAAAUUGUGGGUAAUCCACAUUUCUGUUUUGGUUUGUCCUUCUUCCACGAGCCUGCCUGUGAUAGAGGAAUGGGCAUCUUCAGUGAAGCCCGAAGCCAACCUCAUCAGCAGCAAACGCAUACAGAAGAUGGUUGCGGUAGGCUGUUCAACCUAUUGAAUGCAAUUAUGAAACACGACAAUGAUCCUUUAAUUUGGUCAUAUUUCAGUCAGUGCUUAAGAAUUCCGACGCUGAUGAAGACGACUACAUCUCUACAGGAGGGAUUUGAGAUCAUUAGGACCAAACUCCCAUACCUCUGCAAGUUUGAUGACCUGGAUAAGAGUCAGGAUGGUAGAAUCAGUCAGGAGACGAUCGACUACAUCACCGAGGCUGGGCGUUCAUCCACACGUUUUUAGAGAUGACCUGCAGGAAGCCUACACUUUGCCAUCCCUGUAAAGGGGUUGUAAGAAUGCCGACGCUUCAACUAUCCUGUGGGGUGAGCUGUCACAAAGACUGUUGCAGCCACCUUGCUGUUGAGUGCUGCAAACCAACAAAUGUGCCAGUCACGAUCCUUCAGUGUGCCUGAUAUGGUUUAGCCCCUACACAUUCUACAUCCGAGCAAAUUGCAAAGGAAGCACCCGACUCUCUGGAGGAUGAAGUGUUUGAUGUCCACCUUUUUGAGUACAGUCUCACUUCGUCGGGUGUGUACUCCACAGGGAUGCUGGCCGACAUUUGUCUCCAAUGCUUCCCACACUUUUGUCAAGGUGGCUGCGUGUCAUUUGGGUGGCGGACCAUUCUACACAGGACAUUUUUGUGUGGAAAAACCCCAGCAGCGUUGCAGUUCUUGACCCACUCAAACCAGUGCGCCGGGCACCUACUCCCUUAUCCCGUUUAAAGGCACAUGAAUAUUUUGUCUUGCCCGUUCACCCUCUGAAUGGCACACAUACACAAUCCAUGUCUCGAGGCUUAUAAAUCCUUCUUUAACCCGUUUCCUCCCCUUCAUCUACACUGAUUUUGGAAGUGCAUUUAACAGGUGACAUCAAUCAAGGGAUCAUUAGCUUACACCAGUCAGUCUGUCAUGGAAAGGACCUGUCUCUAAUGUUUUUGUACACUGUGUAUGUCAACAUCUCCUAGUGUGAGCAAUGUGCCUGAUCAAAUGCUCUAUCUGCAAGUGUUUUGAAGUAGUCUCUACAAUUCCUAUCUAAAGUCAUCCUAUUUUUAUACUGCAGUUCUCUAUUUCCUGAAUUAAUUUUGUGGUCCACUUACUAGUUAAUUUUCACAUCAGAAUGAAGACCAACAUUGACAAGAUCACAAACGUUUCCCAUGCUGCCAAGGUGAACUUAAAUGAGGACCCGACAGCAAUGACACUCCGACGAUCUGUGUGAUAGAAAUGUUUUUGCUCCUGUUUGGAUACGCAAUGCACGCUAAGAACAUUGCAAAUAUCUCUGACUUUCUCGAGAAUGUCAACAUUUUCCCCACGUUUUAGAGCUAUUGAACCUGAGGAAGGAUUGUGUAACUAACUAUAUGUUAACUUGCUAAUGAUACUUUGAUUCAGUCAUUGCAUGUUCUGCUGAUUUGUGUAUUUAUUUUCUGAUGAAUGAAUCCUUCAUUCUCUUGGCCAGAGCUUUCACAGUAGGUAAACCUGGAGUACAGUAGAUGCAUAUCUCUGCCUGUGCUUGUAUACGGCUCAUGAUAGCUGAAGGUUGCUUCUCCGCUAGGUGGUGAGGUUUUGUGUCAACACUGCAUAGCGUAGGCUACCACUGGGAUGUAGUAUUCUGUCGUUCUUUCACAUUCCCUGUUUUUAGUGUAGCCCUAUGUUUGUGUAUAAAAUGUGGGAGUGAAUUGUUGAUGACAAGGUAAAUUGAGGUUCUUUCCUCAGCUAGCCAACCAUGUUCAUGUUUGAUUACAUUAUAUUGUGGUACAAUUUUUUAAAAGGCAGAAAGAUCUAUGGUUUUAUAUCAUAGAAUAGAGAUGGCAUCAUGCCCAACUACUUUGGACUUUGCUACCUGUGUACAUACAAUAUGCUGAGGAGUUAUUUGUCUCGCUCUGUUACUCCCAAGUGAUACUCCCAUGAGGGAAGGCAAUUAAUUUACUCUGAGCAGUGGUUUCUAGGAACUUCAAUACAUAGCUGAGAUGAUUCUCUCCGGGAUUGUCACACUGUAAAAUGUGAUAACAGCACAAAUAUAGGCUACAUUUUAUACUUAUUGCUUAAGGUCCGAGGGGUUGUGGUAUAUGGCCGAUGUACCACAGAUAAGGGCUGUUCUUAGGCGCAACACUGAACACUUAUCCGUGGUAUAUCGGCCAUAUACCAUAAACCCCCGAUGUGCCUUAUUGAGAUUAUAAACUGGUUACCAAUGUAAUUAGAGCGGUAAAAAUAAAUGUUUUGUCAUACCCAUGGUAUAUGGUCUGUUUAUAAACUGGGUGGUUCAUGUCCUGAAUGCUGAUUGGUUGAAAGCCAUGGUUUAUCGGUCUGUAUACCACGGGUAGACUUUAUUACUAGUGUAGCCUAUAAGCAGAUGUAGGCAUUGGGUUGUUUUACACUUGCCAAUAUACCAUGGCUAAGGGCUGUAUCAGGGCACUCUGUGUCGCGUCGUGUGUAAGAACAGGCCUUAGCUGUGGUAUAUUGGCCAUAUACCACACUCCCUCGAUCCUUUAUUGCUUAAAUAUACCACACCUGUCAGCAAAUCAGCAUUCUGGGCUCGAACCACUCAGUUUAUAAUAGCCUAUAAUUUUGAAAUCUAUUCCUAUUGCAAAAAACACGACUUAAAAACAUUCUUCUUUAUAUUUUGUGAUAGAGCUUAUCAAUAAUUUUGUCUUUCAAACAGAUUCCAAUUUAGAGCAUUUUGUUGUGUUGGACUUUAGUAGAUAUUCAGUUUGAGAAAUAAUGUUUAGUACUUUUGUGCUGUCUUUUAUUUGAACCACUCAUCUUGCAAACUUGGAGCCUUCAGGUGUUGCUGGCACUCCUGUCAACUUCCAAUUUGGUAGGCUGAGGAUUUGUCACCAUAGUAACUCCACCUCUGGCAUCCUGUAGGCAUUUACUGGCCUGUGAAAACUGAAGCCAUCUCACAAGGGCUAGUCCUAUUUAUAUUGUGGUCGUUUUUUUAAAAUAACGCAAGCAAGGUUAUUAUUGAGGGAGAUGUCCAAACCCGUAUGAUGUUGUCACACUGCAUUAACAGCUUUAUGGAGCUGAGAGAGAAAAUAAAGGGCUUGGAUUAGGUCCAAGGCCAGUUAUCAUGUGUGCAGCGUUUAUACACAUGAGAGCAGACUAUUUAGCAUGUGAAAUAGGGUAUAUAAUAGCCCCAAAUAACUUUUUUUUAAAGCACUUGUUAAGUUAUACACCCGAAAUGCUCAGAAGGUCCUCCCACCA
Long non-coding RNA from Oncorhynchus nerka (sockeye salmon), 3887 nucleotides. RefSeq lists it as uncharacterized. Lineage: Eukaryota; Metazoa; Chordata; Actinopteri; Salmoniformes; Salmonidae. The transcript has 6 exons. The record is from RefSeq and is a predicted model, not a curated record.